Molecule: ribosomal RNA, 213 nt
Filed under: uncultured soil bacterium
Lineage: Bacteria
Description: partial 16S ribosomal RNA
Rfam family: Bacterial small subunit ribosomal RNA
Source: RNAcentral
AGGACGAACGCUGGCGGCGUGCUUAACACAUGCAAGUCGAGCGGUAAGGCCUUUCGGGGUACACGAGCGGCGAACGGGUGAGUAACACGUGGGUGAUCUGCCCUGCACUUCGGGAUAAGCCUGGGAAACUGGGUCUAAUACCGGAUAUGACCUCCUAUCGCAUGGUGGGUGGUGGAAAGAUUUAUCGGUGCAGGAUCGGGCCCGCGGCCUAUC